This 587-nucleotide ribosomal RNA is filed under the name uncultured bacterium. Its description in RNAcentral is "bacterial SSU rRNA". It matches the Rfam family "Bacterial small subunit ribosomal RNA", at positions 338 to 916 of the family's 1533-position model. The record is from RNAcentral.
CCUACGGGAGGCAGCAGUAGGGAAUAUUGCACAAUGGGCGCAAGCCUGAUGCAGCAACGCCGCGUGCGCGAGGAAGGCCUUCGGGUCGUAAAGCUCUGUUGUUAGGGAAGAACAAGUACCGGAGUAACUGCCGGUACCUUGACGGUACCUAACCAGAAAGCCACGGCUAACUACGUGCCAGCAGCCGCGGUAAUACGUAGGUGGCAAGCGUUGUCCGGAAUUAUUGGGCGUAAAGCGCGCGCAGGCGGUUUCUUAAGUCUGAUGUGAAAGCCCCCGGCUCAACCGGGGAGGGUCAUUGGAAACUGGGAAACUUGAGUGCAGAAGAGGAAAGUGGAAUUCCAAGUGUAGCGGUGAAAUGCGUAGAGAUUUGGAGGAACACCAGUGGCGAAGGCGACUUUCUGGUCUGUAACUGACGCUGAGGCGCGAAAGCGUGGGGAGCAAACAGGAUUAGAUACCCUGGUAGUCCACGCUGUAAACGAUGAGUGCUAAGUGUUAGAGGGUUUCCGCCCUUUAGUGCUGAAGUUAACGCAUUAAGCACUCCGCCUGGGGAGUACGGUCGCAAGACUGAAACUCAAAGGAAUUGACGG